Molecule: transfer RNA, 74 nt
Filed under: Bacteroidota bacterium
Lineage: Bacteria; Pseudomonadati; Bacteroidota
Also listed under: 1 other name
Description: Bacteroidetes bacterium tRNA-Ile
Rfam family: tRNA
About the family: Transfer RNA (tRNA) molecules are approximately 80 nucleotides in length.
Source: RNAcentral
GGGCCUGUAGCUCAGCUGGUUAGAGCAUCUGACUCAUAAUCAGAGGGUCCGCGGUUCGAGCCCGUGCAGGCCCA